Pantherophis guttatus is the source of this 920-nucleotide long non-coding RNA. RefSeq lists it as uncharacterized. The record is from RefSeq and is a predicted model, not a curated record. Lineage: Eukaryota; Metazoa; Chordata; Lepidosauria; Squamata; Colubridae.
GUCCUUAAACGGCGGCCCAUAAGGAGUUCUGCCGGGCUUCGAUUCGUUGAUUGGCACGGGGUGGUGUGUUGUACCAGCAAAUACUCUGCAAUUCGCUCAUGCCAGUCCCUGGACCCCAUCCUUCCUAACACCUCUUUGGCAGAUCUUACAGCUCGUUCCGCAAAACCAUUACUCGAAGGAUGGAACGGGGAGAUCAGGCAAUGUCGGAUACCCAAGCUCGCUAAAAACACUUUGAAUGUGGAGGAUGUUACUUGGGGUCCAUUAUCCAAUACCAGCAGAUCAGAUCGGCGAUCCCACCUUCGUCGCCACUAAUAAAUACUGUAUGGUCAUCUGAAGAAUGGCAACUGGCGAGUAUUCUUCUCAGAACCUGGCAUGAUUUAUGGCCUGAAAGAAAAAUGCUGCAAAGUGUCCCACGAACAAGGUGGUCCAGGCUGGCUGUGUGUCUGCCUGCCUACAAGUGUUCUCUUGUAUUUUGGGAGAACAUAAACCAAGGCAUUCAGCAUCAUGCAAAUAUUGCCGCUUAAGUGCCAGCUAUGGGGAAUGGCAACGUUCCAAGAAACUUUCAGAGAAAGAAAACCUUCUAUUGUGGAUGUCAGUGAUGAUGCUUCUGCAGCAGUUGAUUCAGAAAGCAGGAUUGCCAAAAGUCUCGGUGGAAUGUAAAGAUAUGCUGAACAAUGAUAUAACACCAUUAGAAUUAUUGGAGGCAACCAAAAAACAAAAAAAUAAUAAAACACCAGGCCCUGAUGGAUUGCCGUCAGAAAUUUUCAAAAACCACCAAGAGAUAUUAAGUCCCAUAUUGUUAGAGAUAUAUAACGAAGUUUUGAAUGAAGCAAAGAUCCCAGCCUCGUGGAUGGAAGCAACAACUACAUUGGUUCCCAAGGAAAAUGCUGAUUUGGCUUUUAUUAAAAAUUAUAGGCCAA